GAUGGGACCCUCCAGAAAGAAAACCUGCCCAGCAACCCCAGCAAGCUUUCCCGCCAGCAGGACGCUGUGAAGAAUUACCUGCACCGGAAAGAAAAGAACAGAGGCUUCAGGCAUGCUCGUGUUCCUCCUUCCCGGGGCUCGAUCGCUGGAGGUAAACAUCGAAAUAAUUGGAUCUGAAUGACUGAGGCUGGUAACUUGGUCCUGAACUAAGAUUAGAUCUAGCAACGUUUGCCAAGUCUUUGAGUUCCAGACAGGUUUUCAAGCAGAGGCAUGUACAGAUCUCGCCUCCUGUCUGCGAAGAAGGUUGGAUUUGUGAACGUUGUCUCCUGGUGAUGUACCCGACCAUGUAAGUAGGUGUGUCAGGCUGGAGCCCAGCGAGGUGGGAGAUGUUCUGUAGGUGCUUGAGACACCUCUGUAGGACGCGGGCGAGAGAAGGUCGCAAGCACCACGACAUCGUGAAUGUAACAAGUUCAGCUCUCAAUCCCUGCUCCUCUGACAACGGGGACGCAAGCCGGAGGUUUAGCGCGGAGAUGGAGGGACAGGCUGCCUUAGUUUCCCGGCCCUGUGACUCACGGGGUUUGGGCCCACCAUUUCUUUGCAGUUGAAAAAUGCCAAAUCUGACAUGCACGUCUCACUUUGGCUGGCAACUGAAACUUUACCAACUGUGUGAAUCAUCGGGGAUUAUUUAGAGAGCCCCCGCCCCUAUUUACUGCUUUUGA
Molecule: long non-coding RNA, 719 nt
Organism: Alligator mississippiensis (American alligator)
Lineage: Eukaryota; Metazoa; Chordata; Crocodylia; Alligatoridae
Exons: 4
Source: RefSeq, a predicted model, not a curated record